GACGAACGCUGGCGGCGUGCUUAACACAUGCAAGUCGAACGGAAAGGCCCUGCUUUUGUGGGGUGCUCGAGUGGCGAACGGGUGAGUAACACGUGAGUAACCUGCCCUUGACUUUGGGAUAACUUCAGGAAACUGGGGCUAAUACCGGAUAGGAGCUCCUGCUGCAUGGUGGGGGUUGGAACGUUUCGGCGGUUGGGGAUGGACUCGCGGCUUAUCAGCUUGCUGGUGGGGUAGUGGCUUACCAAGGCUUUGACGGGUAGCCGGCCUGAGAGGGUGACCGGCACAAGGGGGCUGGGGGAAGGGCCAGAGCCCCACCGGGGGGAAGGGGGGGGGAAUUUGGCCAGAUGGGCGGAAGGGGGAUGGAAGACCGCCGGGGGGGGGAGGACGGUCUUGGGGUUGUAAACGGCUGUGGCUUGUAACGAGGCGGGAUGGAGGUAAAUGGGGAAAAAAGCACGGGUAAACUAGGG
Molecule: ribosomal RNA, 467 nt
Filed under: uncultured bacterium
Lineage: Bacteria
Description: partial 16S ribosomal RNA
Rfam family: Bacterial small subunit ribosomal RNA
Source: RNAcentral